RNAcentral lists this small RNA (67 nucleotides) under Arabidopsis thaliana (thale cress). RNAcentral's name for it is "ATSL102170". The record is from RNAcentral. Lineage: Eukaryota; Viridiplantae; Streptophyta; Magnoliopsida; Brassicales; Brassicaceae.
UGGGUAUAAUCCUACUAUAUUAUUUGGGAAGUACAUUUUAAAUGUAACCUUAAUUUUUAUAAUUAAU